Andrographis paniculata is the source of this 2381-nucleotide RNA transcript. RefSeq lists it as uncharacterized. NCBI's taxonomy places the organism in Eukaryota, Viridiplantae, Streptophyta, Magnoliopsida, Lamiales, Acanthaceae. The transcript has 6 exons. The record is from RefSeq and is a predicted model, not a curated record.
CUUCUCACGACAUAUAUCACUUCGUCGAUUAAAAGUCUCAUUCAAGCGGAUGCAGAUGGUUUCCCGACUUUUCUUUUCAGGAGAACUACGUAUGGCUUGAUUCCGUUUGGGUACGUAGGCAGCCCACUUUGGGUGCAGCCAUUCGAUUGAGCGGAAGCUUCUCCCGACGUAUAUCACUUCGUCGAUCUAGAGUCUCCUUCGAGCGGAUGCAGAUUGUUUCUCGACUUUCCUUUUCAGUCUGCAUCAGAAGAACUACGUAUGGCUUGAUCCCGUUUUGGGUACGUAGGCAGCCCAAUUGGGGUUCAACCAUUCGAUUGAACGGACACUUCUCUCGACAUAUAUCACUUGGUCGAUUAAAAGCCUCAUUCGAGCGGAUGCAGAUGGUUUCCCGACUUUCCAUUUCAGUCUGUAUCAGAAGAACUACGUAUGGCUUAAUCCCGUUUGGGUACGUAGGCAGCCCAAUUUGGGUUCAGCCAUUCGAUUGAACGGACGCUUCUUCCAGCAUAUAUCACUUCGUCGAUUAAAAGCCUCAUUCAAGCGGAUGCAGAUAGUUUCCCGACUUUCCAAUUCAGGUAGCAGGCUUCACCCUCUUAUUUGUUUUUUGUGUCACUUAGUGCUGAUAUUACUUACACUUGAUAGACUUAGUAUCGCUUGAUUGGUGUUGAUGACUCAUGCACGUUGCCUUUGGCCUUUGCUACUUAGACUAGCUUUACUUGUCUGGCCUGUUUUGUUUGACUUGGACUGUAUAGUCUGGAUCAGAAGAACUACGUAUGGCUUGAUCCCAUUUGGGUACGUAGGCAGCCCAACUUGGGUUCAGCCAUUCGAUUGAACGGACGCUUCUUCCAGCAUAUAUCACUUCGUCGAUCAAAAGUCUCAUUCGAGCGGAUGGUGAUGGUCACCCGACUUUCCAUUUCAGGUACCUGGCUUCACCCUCUUACUUGUUUUUUGUGACAUUUAGUGUUGAUAUUAGUUAGACUUGAUACACUUUGUAAAGCAUGUCUUUGGCCUUUGCUACUUAGACUAUCUUGGUUUGUUUGGUGUGUUUUGUUUGACUUGGACUGUAUAGCCUGUAUCAGAAGAACUACGUAUGGUUUGAUCCCGUUUGGGUACGUAGGCAGCCCACUUUGGGUGCAACCAUUCGAUAUAGCAGACGCUUUUCCUGAAAUAUAUCACUUCGUCGAUAUAACGUCUCAUUCGAGCGGAUGCAGAUGGUCUUCCGACUUUCUAUUUCAGGUAGCAGACUUCACCCUCUUACUUGUUUUUUGUGACACUUACUGUUGAUAUAACUUACACUUGAUAGACUUAGUAUUGCUUGGUUGGUGUUGAUACCUCAGGCAUAUUGCCAUUGGUCUUUGCUAUUUACACUACCUUUGAUUGUCUGGUCUGUUUUGUUUGACUUGGACUGUAUAGCCUGUAUCAGGAGAACUACGUAUGGCUUGAUCCCGUUUGGGUACGUAGGCAGCCCACUUUGGGUGCAGCCAUUCGAUUGAGCGGAUGCUUCUCACGACAUAUAUCACUUCGUCGAUUAAAAGUCUCAUUCAAGCGGAUGCAGAUGGUUUCCCGACUUUUCUUUUCAGGUAGCAGGCUUCACCCCCUUACUUGUUUUUGUGAAACUUUGUGUUGAUAUUACUUAGACUUGAUAGACUUAGUAUCGCUUGAUUGUGUUGAUGCCUCAGGCAUGUUGCAUUUGGUCUUUGCUACUUAAACUAGCUUGACUUGCCUAGUCUGUUUUGUUAGACUUGGAUUGUAUAGCCUGGAUCAGGAGAACUACGUAUGGCUUGAUCCCCUUUGGGUACGUAAGCAGCCCACUUUGGGUGCAGCCAUUCGAUUGAGCGGACGUUUCUCCCCUAAUAUAUCACUUCGUCGAUCAAAAGUCUCUUUCGAGCAUAUGGAGAUGGUCACCCGACUUUCCAUUUCAGCAUGUAUCAGGAGAACUACGUAUGGCUUGAUCCUGAUUCGGUACGUAGGCAGCCCACUUUGGGUGCAGCCAUUCGAUUAAGCGGAUGCUUCUCACGAUAUAUAUCACUUCGUCGAUUAAAAGUCUCAUUCAAGCGCAUUCAGAUAGUUUCCCGACUUUCCUUUUCAGGUAGCCCACUUUGGGUGCAGUCAUUCGAUUGAACGGACGCUUCUCCCGCCACAUAUCACUUCUUCGAUUGAAAGUCUCCUUCGAGCGGAUGCAGAUGGUUCCCCGACUUUCCUUUUCAGGUAGUAGGCUUCACCCUCGUACUUGUUUUUGUGACAAUUUGUGUUGAUAUUACUUUGACUUGAUAGACUUAGUAUCGCUUGAUUGGUGUUGAUGCCUCAGGCAUGUUGCAUUUGACCUUUGCUACUUAGACUAAGUUGACUUGUUUGGUGGUUUUGUUUGACUUUGAUUGUAUAGU